This 909-nucleotide ribosomal RNA is filed under the name Triticum aestivum (bread wheat). RNAcentral's name for it is "partial small subunit ribosomal RNA". The record is from RNAcentral. Lineage: Eukaryota; Viridiplantae; Streptophyta; Magnoliopsida; Poales; Poaceae.
AUGGCUGAUUCAGCGGAGUGCGCCAUCUGUCACGCGGCGGUCAAUACACGGCGUCAUUCCCUCUUUGAUUGCCGCAUGGCUCGCUGUGUUUGGGCCCUCACUGAGGAGGAUUUGACGGAAACAAUCAUAUCAAAUAGGGAGAAGGAUGCCAAGCUUUGGAUGCUAUGGUUGGUUGAUACCCUACCUUUGGCCGACCUAGCACGGGUAUUGGUGACAAUGUGGGCCAUAUGGUGGGCGAGACGCCGAGCCAUCCAUGACGACCAGUACCAGAGCCCACUAAGUACCCAUAUUUUCAUUGACAAGUUUCUAGCGGAGCUCGAGAUGAUGCCGCACAAGAAAUCACGCCCCAAGGACCUACAUGUAACUUCAGGGGACCUGCAUGUGAUUUCCAGGGACCUGCAUGUGACUAGAAGUGGCCAUGGGGAUUCGCCAUCGCAUGCGUGGCUCCCGCCUGAGCACCAUGAUGUUAAGAUGAAUGUUGAUGUAGGCUUUUCGAAGAUCGGCGACCGUGCAGCUGCAGCAGUGAUAUGCAGGGACAAACGAGUAAACUUCCUGGGUGCCUCGGCCAUCAUCUAUGAAGGCCGCCUCGAUCCAACUAUACUCGAAGCACAGGCAUGUUGCGAGGCCCUCUCUCUCGCCUCGGAUUUGCAGGUUCAUUCCAUAUGUGUGGCCUCAGACUGCUUGGAGGUAGUGAUGAACAUACAAGAUGAAGUUCCCUGCCGAUAUUUUUCUAUCUUACAAGAUAUCAAGCACCAGAGGAGUCAAUUCCAGGAUGUAAAGUUUCUCCAUGAGAGUAGGAAACAUAACGGAGAAGCACAUGCCUUAGCAAAGGCAGCUGCCUCUCUUAGCCUCGGGCGCCAUGUGUGGCUUAGUUUUUGCCCGAUAUCAUCUGUAUCUCCAUGUGUGUGA